Bos taurus (domestic cattle) is the source of this 1232-nucleotide long non-coding RNA. Lineage: Eukaryota; Metazoa; Chordata; Mammalia; Artiodactyla; Bovidae. The record is from Ensembl.
GGGCUAUACAGUACAGCUGAAGGAUUUAAGCAAGGCAAAUAAGGUAAUAAGAUUACCGUUAAAAAUGAUGCUUGUAGCUGUGCUGUGGAUUGAAGGACUGCUGCUGCUGCUGUUGCUAGGUUGCUUCAGUCGUGUCCGACUUUGUGCGACCCCAUAAAUGGCAGCCCGCCAGGCUCCCCCGUCCCUGGGAUUCUCCAGGCGAGUAACACUGGGGUGGGUUGCCAUUUCCUUCUCCAAUGCAUGAAAGUGAAAAGUGAAAGUGAAUUCGCUCGUGUCCAGCUCUUCAAGACCCCAUGGACUGCAGCCUACCAGGCUACUCUGUCCAUGGGAUUUUCCAGGCAAGAGUACUGGAGUGGGGUGCCAUUGCCUUCUCCGAUGGAAGGACUGGAGAGAAGCAAAGGUGCCUGGUGGGCGAUGGUCCAUAUGGUCACGAAGUCAGACAACAGCUGAAGUGACAGCACGCGUGCAUUCCUUUGGAAGAAAUAGCUGUGACAUAGGCCCUUUCAACCACAUGGAUAAACCCCAAACCCCUUGUCUUGGCACAAUGCCCCUGUGGUCUGGCUCCUUCCUCCAUCUCCAGCCUCCUCUGCUGAUGGGCCUCCACCCUCUGACGGACACUCCGGCUUCUUUCAGUCACUCACAUCUGCCACGCUCUGCCUCCCCAGGACCUUGGCACUUGCUGUGCUUUGCUCUUCUCUGUUGCCUGGUUAUCCCCAGCUCACGGGUCACGUUGCUUCCCAAGCUCGACUUUCUCGGAGAGGCUUUUGCUUACCUCACCAGCCAGACCCCCCUCCUCCGGACGGUCUCUCACAGCCCAGCAAGCUGCCCUACGCUUCCUGCAGGCACAACCGUGGAUUCCGCAGGGUUUUGUCAAUGGCGGCCUAUCUUGGGUGCUAGCCAGCCACGUGUGGCUUUGUCCCCUGCAGUAUUCCCGGGGAUUGGUGCAGUGCCUGUCACGGAGUGGGCGCUCAGUAAAGUUUGGUGAGCGUGUGAAGAAGCAUGUAGUGUUCGUGAAGGUUAUACCUGGGUGUUGGGGGGGUGGGUCUCUCCAGCACCAAAGGCCAGGGAUAUAUGACAGAAAAACGAUGUCAUGGGCCCCUCACACUGUCUGCAUUAUGUGUCCACUGUACAGAUGGUGAGGUCGAGGCUCAGGAAGGUUAAGUGAUGUCCCCAAGGUCGCCAGUCUUGUCAGGGGCAAUCUGGGCCUGAGGCCAGAGCUGGUUAACAUGGAC